CCCCCCCCCCCCCCCCCCCCCCCCCCCCCCCCCCCCCCCCCCCCCCCCCCCCCCCCCCCCCCCCCCCCCCCCCCCCCCCCCCCCCCCCCCCCCCCCCCCCCAAAAAAAAAAAAAAAAAAAAAAAAAAAAGAACAGGUAGUAAAGAAUAGGAGUCAUUAGGGGAUCAGAUUAAUGUGAAUGUAGAUUCCUUCCCACUGGGAGCUGCAACCAGCUGAAGAGUUGUGGUUUUAGCUCCCGCAACCUUCUUUUUCUAAUAGACUCUGCUAACACGUAGCAAAUAUCUUGUGUCUCCCAGCUGCACAGCCAUCGAUGUUUCCAGCUUUGACUGAAGUUCGUGUUCAGUAAGUAAUGUCUGCAUUUCAACACACAGUCACCACUGUUUGUAGGCACUUUGUUCCUUGACUUCCUUGCUGCCUUAAUAGCAAAUGAAGGGAGGCUGCAGUGAGCAACACAGGACUUCUCAAGGGAAAGAGUGCAUAGAUGCCUUCAAGGAUCCUAAGUUUUUCCGGGAUGUGGUGACCAUCUUCCUAUUCAUCCCUGCAUAUUUGCACAUCCAAAAAUAUAAUUGCUUUGAAAAAUGUCAGCUGAACAACUUCUGCAGUGAAAACAUGGGCUCUUUAGCAUUAUUUGUUUGGGCACAGAAAUGCAAUUGUAUGUGCAAUGGAAACUGAAAACUUGGGCACAUCUCUCUCCAGUGAACAUCAUGGUUCUGUUAAACAAGCAUCUAGGAAAUCACAGAUUACACGUUUUUUAAGCUUGACUCCAUACCCACACACAACCAUCCACUGACCUAAGCCAGCAACAAGAGAUGAAGCAUUGUUGGUUUUGGGUAAGAAAAUGAGACAGUGAUGGUUUAUAAAUGCACUGCAUUUGCAAGGCAAGUUUUUCAUAGUGUGUGUGGAGGGGUAGUCUAUAGGGGUGGCUUCUAUGAAAAGCUUCUAGAAGCUUCUCCCAUGUCCAAUGGAGCCAAUGCCGUGCAGCUCUGAAACAGAGCCACAGGUGGUCAAGGCCAAGCCUAUCAGCAGUGGAGGUAGCUCCUCUGGAGUAACAGAAAGAGAAGAAGUUACUGUGUAGGGAAGGAGAGAAUUUGUGAGAUGUGAGAGAAGCAACUUUGCAGACACUAAAGUCGGUGAAGAAGGGUAAGAAAGAGAUGUUCCAGGGACCUGGGGUGAAGACCAUGGUGAAACUGUUCUCCUGUAGCCCACAAAAGUCCACAGAAAAGCAGAGAUCCACCUACAGCUUCUGGAGAAAUCCAAGCCAGAGAAGUGGAACUGUGAGGAGUCCUCCCCCGGUAAAGAAGGGAGCAGCAGAGACAAUAUGUGAUGAACUGACUGCAGUCUUCUCCAACUCCCUGCAUUUCUGGGAGAUGAGGUAGAGAAACUGGACAAGAAAAAGGGAGACAUGGGGUGGAAGGUGAUUCUUUAGUAUUUAGUUUUAUUUCUUAUUACCCUAUUCUGAUUUGAUUGGUAAUAAAUCCAACUGAUUUCUUCUCCAAGCUGAGUCUGUUUUGCCCGUGAUGGUAAUCAGUGACUGAUCUCUUCCUGUACUUAUCUCAAUCCACAAGAAUUCUCUCCUCUGUCCAGCUGAAAAGCAGAAUGACAGAGCAGCUUUGAGGAGCACCUGGUGUUCAGCCAGGGCUGACCCACCACAAGAGGCAGCCAUACAGCUGCAUUUUAAGAGACUCGUCAACCCCCCAACCUAGGGACAGCCAUGGGUGCAAGGACAGAAAACAGUGCUGAGGCAGCGCUCUAGUGUUCUGAGGUUCAUCUUGUGGGAGGGAUGUGAUGCUGUCCCACGGAUACGACACGAAGGCUUUGAGAGACCUUGGGAUGCAGGCUCAAAGCUAAUUUGCAUUUCUCUUUCUAUCAUUUUUCCUCCACACUGCUGACAGCUUCUUCAUUGCACUGCUACAGUGUCUCCAGACAUAGAUGACCCAC
RNAcentral lists this long non-coding RNA (1937 nucleotides) under Ficedula albicollis (Collared flycatcher). Its description in RNAcentral is "lncRNA (ENSFALG00000028515.1)". Lineage: Eukaryota; Metazoa; Chordata; Aves; Passeriformes; Muscicapidae. The record is from RNAcentral.